RNAcentral lists this ribosomal RNA (1199 nucleotides) under Acinetobacter sp. EAPC6. RNAcentral's name for it is "bacterial SSU rRNA". It matches the Rfam family "Bacterial small subunit ribosomal RNA", at positions 202 to 1392 of the family's 1533-position model. The record is from RNAcentral. Lineage: Bacteria; Pseudomonadati; Pseudomonadota; Gammaproteobacteria; Moraxellales; Moraxellaceae.
UCAUGGGUGUCCUUGUGUUGAUAGAUGAUCCUAAUCAAGAUUAACUAGUUGGUGGGUUAUGGGCCUUCCUAGGCACUGGCAUGAGUCGGACCUGAGAAGAUGAUCCGCCACACUGGGACUGAGACACGGCCCAGACUCCUACGGGAGGCAGCAGUGGGGAAUAUUGGACAAUGGGGGGAACCCUGAUCCAGCCAUGCCGCGUGUGUGAAGAAGGCCUUAUGGUUGUAAAGCACUUUAAGCGAGGAGGAGGCUCCUGUAGUUAAUACCUACAGUGAGUGGACGUUACUCGCAGAAUAAGCACCGGCUAACUCUGUGCCAGCAGCCGCGGUAAUACAGAGGGUGCGAGCGUUAAUCGGAUUUACUGGGCGUAAAGCGUACGUAGGCGGCUUAUUAAGUCGGAUGUGAAAUCCCUGAGCUUAACUUAGGAAUUGCAUUCGAUACUGGUGAGCUAGAGUAUGGGAGAGGAUGGUAGAAUUCCAGGUGUAGCGGUGAAAUGCGUAGAGAUCUGGAGGAAUACCGAUGGCGAAGGCAGCCAUCUGGCCUAAUACUGACGCUGAGGUACGAAAGCAUGGGGAGCAAACAGGAUUAGAUACCCUGGUAGUCCAUGCCGUAAACGAUGUCUACUAGCCGUUGGGGCCUUUGAGGCUUUAGUGGCGCAGCUAACGCGAUAAGUAGACCGCCUGGGGAGUACGGUCGCAAGACUAAAACUCAAAUGAAUUGACGGGGGCCCGCACAAGCGGUGGAGCAUGUGGUUUAAUUCGAUGCAACGCGAAGAACCUUACCUGGUCUUGACAUAGUAAGAACUUUCCAGAGAUGGAUUGGUGCCUUCGGGAACUUACAUACAGGUGCUGCAUGGCUGUCGUCAGCUCGUGUCGUGAGAUGUUGGGUUAAGUCCCGCAACGAGCGCAACCCUUUUCCUUAUUUGCCAGCACUUCGGGUGGGAACUUUAAGGAUACUGCCAGUGACAAACUGGAGGAAGGCGGGGACGACGUCAAGUCAUCAUGGCCCUUACGACCAGGGCUACACACGUGCUACAAUGGUCGGUACAAAGGGUUGCUACCUAGCGAUAGGAUGCUAAUCUCAAAAAGCCGAUCGUAGUCCGGAUUGGAGUCUGCAACUCGACUCCAUGAAGUCGGAAUCCCUGGUAAUCUCGGAUCAGAAUGCCGCGGUGAAUACGUUCCCGGGCCUUGUACACACCG